AACGAACGCUGGCGGCAUGCCUAACACAUGCCAGUCGAACGAGACCUUCGGGUCUAGUGGCGCACGGGUGCGUAACGCGUGGGAACCUGCCCUUAGGUUCGGAAUAACUCCCCUAAAGGGGUGCUAAUACCGGAUAAUGUCUUCGGACCAAAGAUUUAUCGCCUUUGGAUGGGCCCGCGUUGGAUUAGCUAGUUGGUAGGGUAAAAGCCUACCAAGGCGACGAUCCAUAGCUGGUCUGAGAGGAUGAUCAGCCACACUGGGACUGAGACACGGCCCAGACUCCUACGGGAGGCAGCAGUGGGGAAUAUUGGACAAUGGGCGAAAGCCUGAUCCAGCAAUGCCGCGUGAGUGAUGAAGGCCUUAGGGUUGUAAAGCUCUUUUACCCGGGAUGAUAAUGACAGUACCGGGAGAAUAAGCGCCGGCUAACUCCGUG
Molecule: ribosomal RNA, 433 nt
Filed under: uncultured bacterium
Lineage: Bacteria
Description: partial 16S ribosomal RNA
Rfam family: Bacterial small subunit ribosomal RNA
Source: RNAcentral